Molecule: long non-coding RNA, 622 nt
Organism: Drosophila santomea
Lineage: Eukaryota; Metazoa; Arthropoda; Insecta; Diptera; Drosophilidae
Exons: 2
Source: RefSeq, a predicted model, not a curated record
ACAAGGAAAUGGUUUAAAGAUCUGUAAAUAGUUAUUGUUUAGUAGUCAAAUAAUUAAAUUUCAAUAUCCAAGGCUCCAACUUUUGAAAUGUGUAAAACAAACUGAAUUCCAAUGGGCAAACACUUCCAAUUUUUAAACAAAAUUCCAAGCGACAUACCCACAUGCAUACAUACAAACCCACUUGUAAACAGAGAAGCGCCUGAUUUCAAAGUGUCAGCACAAUUGGAAAGUCGUAAACAAAAACGCAACAUGAGAUUCAAGACACUUUCGUCUGGGAGGCUGAACAGAACUAAACGAAGAAAUAGUUCACAUACAUAAGAACCACCAUUUUUAUUGCACCGCUAGAGUUAAGAAGAAGAAAAGCUGGAAACUGAAAAUUUCCUUGCAAAUUAAUCGAUGUCCCAAGUUUUAAGAGAUCGAUAUCAUCUUCAAUCGGAAUAAAUCUAUGGAAUUAAAGAAUUUAUUCAAUAUUCCCCGCAAUUCGAAUUGAAACACACAAACAAAUGAAUGUACCUAAAUCCUUUUUUGUCUAGCGAACAAGCGAUCAAAACUAGGGAAACAUAUGUACGUUUUUUCCCCUAUAAUUGAUGGCAAUCUGGUCCCAAUAAAUCCUUCUCACCCA